UGGGGAAUAUUGGACAAUGGGCGAAAGCCUGAUCCAGCCAUGCCGCGUGUGUGAAGAAGGUCUUCGGAUUGUAAAGCACUUUAAGUUGGGAGGAAGGGCAGUAAGCGAAUACCUUGCUGUUUUGACGUUACCGACAGAAUAAGCACCGGCUAACUCUGUGCCAGCAGCCGCGGUAAUACAGAGGGUGCGAGCGUUAAUCGGAAUUACUGGGCGUAAAGCGCGCGUAGGUGGUUCGUUAAGUUGAAUGUGAAAGCCCCGGGCUCAACCUGGGAACUGCAUCCAAAACUGGCGAGCUAGAGUAGGGCAGAGGGUGGUGGAAUUUCCUGUGUAGCGGUGAAAUGCGUAGAUAUAGGAAGGAACACCAGUGGCGAAGGCGACCACCUGGGCUCAUACUGACACUGAGGUGCGAAAGCGUGGGGAGCAAACAGG
This 429-nucleotide ribosomal RNA is filed under the name Pseudomonadota bacterium. Its description in RNAcentral is "Proteobacteria bacterium partial 16S ribosomal RNA". It matches the Rfam family "Bacterial small subunit ribosomal RNA", at positions 355 to 776 of the family's 1533-position model. The record is from RNAcentral. Lineage: Bacteria; Pseudomonadati; Pseudomonadota.